AGUCCACGCCGUAAACGAUGUCUACUUGGAGGUUGUGGCCUUGAGCCGUGGCUUUCGGAGCUAACGCGUUAAGUAGACGCCUGGGGAGUACGGUCGCAAGAUUAAAACUCAAAUGAAUUGACGGGGGCCCGCACAAGCGGUGGAGCAUGUGGUUUAAUUCGAUGCAACGCGAAGAACCUUACCUACUCUUGACAUCCAGAGAAC
This 204-nucleotide ribosomal RNA is filed under the name Vibrio parahaemolyticus. RNAcentral's name for it is "partial 16S ribosomal RNA". It matches the Rfam family "Bacterial small subunit ribosomal RNA", at positions 792 to 996 of the family's 1533-position model. The record is from RNAcentral. Lineage: Bacteria; Pseudomonadati; Pseudomonadota; Gammaproteobacteria; Vibrionales; Vibrionaceae.